UAGGGAAUCUUCGGCAAUGGACGGAAGUCUGACCGAGCAACGCCGCGUGAGUGAAGAAGGUUUUCGGAUCGUAAAGCUCUGUUGUAAGAGAAGAACGAGUGUGAGAGUGGAAAGUUCACACUGUGACGGUAUCUUACCAGAAAGGGACGGCUAACUACGUGCCAGCAGCCGCGGUAAUACGUAGGUCCCGAGCGUUGUCCGGAUUUAUUGGGCGUAAAGCGAGCGCAGGCGGUUAGAUAAGUCUGAAGUUAAAGGCUGUGGCUUAACCAUAGUAGGCUUUGGAAACUGUCAAACUUGAGUGCAGAAGGGGAGAGUGGAAUUCCAUGUGUAGCGGUGAAAUGCGUAGAUAUAUGGAGGAACACCGGUGGCGAAAGCGGCUCUCUGGCUUGUAACUGACGCUGAGGCUCGAAAGCGUGGGGAGCAAACAGGAUUAGAUACCCUGGUAGUCCACGCCGUAAACGAUGAGUGCUAGGUGUUAGACCCUUUCCGGGGUUUAGUGCCGCAGCUAACGCAUUAAGCACUCCGCCUGGGGAGUACGACCGCAAGGUUG
This 550-nucleotide ribosomal RNA is filed under the name uncultured bacterium. Its description in RNAcentral is "bacterial SSU rRNA". It matches the Rfam family "Bacterial small subunit ribosomal RNA", at positions 355 to 896 of the family's 1533-position model. The record is from RNAcentral.